Cajanus cajan (pigeon pea) is the source of this 278-nucleotide non-coding RNA. The record is from RefSeq and is a predicted model, not a curated record. Lineage: Eukaryota; Viridiplantae; Streptophyta; Magnoliopsida; Fabales; Fabaceae.
GCAUCAUAUGAGAAUGCAGCUUACCUUAAAGGUCUAAUUACAAAUCAAUGGAAGAUGCAAUUCGUGGGAUUUUAUGACUGCUGGAAUGAUUUUCAAGAAAAGGCGACGACUCAACUCUUGGUUCUCUUGGACAAGCAUGAGGAGCGCGACACUUACGUGGUGGCUUUCCGAGGAACGGAACCCUUUGAUGCAGAUGCAUGGUGCACUGACCUUGACAUCUCGUGGUAUGGGAUUCCGGGCAUUGGAAAAAUGCAUGGUGGCUUUAUGAAAGCCUUAGG